UAGGGAAUCUUCGGCAAUGGACGAAAGUCUGACCGAGCAACGCCGCGUGAGUGAAGAAGGUUUUCGGAUCGUAAAACUCUGUUGUUAGAGAAGAACAAGGACGUUAGUAACUGAACGUGCCCUGACGGUAUCUAACCAGAAAGCCACGGCUAACUACGUGCCAGCAGCCGCGGUAAUACGUAGGUGGCAAGCGUUGUCCGGAUGUAUUGGGCGGAAAGCGAGCGCAGGCGGGUUCUUAAGUCUGAUGUGAAAGCCCCCGGCUCAACCGGGGAGGGUCAUUUGCGACUGGGAGACUUGAGUUCAGAAGAGUAGAGUGGAAUUCCAUGUGUAGCGGUGAAAUGCGUAGAUAUAUGGAGUAACUCCAGUGGCGAAGGCUGCUCUCUAGUCUGUAACUGACGCUGAGGCUCGAAAGCGUGGGGAGCAAACAGG
RNAcentral lists this ribosomal RNA (429 nucleotides) under Gemmatimonadota bacterium. RNAcentral describes it as "Gemmatimonadetes bacterium partial 16S ribosomal RNA". It matches the Rfam family "Bacterial small subunit ribosomal RNA", at positions 355 to 776 of the family's 1533-position model. Lineage: Bacteria; Pseudomonadati; Gemmatimonadota. The record is from RNAcentral.